Long non-coding RNA from Amphimedon queenslandica, 177 nucleotides. RefSeq lists it as uncharacterized. NCBI's taxonomy places the organism in Eukaryota, Metazoa, Porifera, Demospongiae, Haplosclerida, Niphatidae. The transcript is spliced from 2 exons. The record is from RefSeq and is a predicted model, not a curated record.
AAAGAGAGAUCAGAAAUACAAGAGGCAGAGGAAGCAAGGUUAAACAGGAUAAAGGAAAUUAAAGCACAGCAUAGCCAAAGAUAUUGAUUAUGACUGAGUUGUAGGUGUCAUAUUAUUUUUGUAUUGCAAUCCCACCAAAUUUACUUGACGACAUGUUAUAAGAGUUGGCUACAUGCA